GGGGCUGUGGAUUAGUGGUCAAGCAUCUGUUUUGUAUACAGAAGGUACCAGGUUCAAUUCCCACCAUCUCUG
This 72-nucleotide transfer RNA is filed under the name Sphaerodactylus townsendi. RNAcentral's name for it is "tRNA-Thr". It matches the Rfam family "tRNA". From Rfam's summary of the family: Transfer RNA (tRNA) molecules are approximately 80 nucleotides in length. Their secondary structure includes four short double-helical elements and three loops (D, anti-codon, and T loops). The record is from RNAcentral. Lineage: Eukaryota; Metazoa; Chordata; Lepidosauria; Squamata; Sphaerodactylidae.